UCCCUGGUGGCUCAGACGGUAAAGUGUCUGUCUGCAAUGCAGGAGACACAGGUUCGAUUCCUGGGUUGGGAA
Molecule: transfer RNA, 72 nt
Filed under: Bos taurus (domestic cattle)
Lineage: Eukaryota; Metazoa; Chordata; Mammalia; Artiodactyla; Bovidae
Also listed under: 4 other names
Rfam family: tRNA
About the family: Transfer RNA (tRNA) molecules are approximately 80 nucleotides in length.
Source: Rfam by way of RNAcentral